CCUACGGGAGGCAGCAGUGGGGGAUAUUGCACAAUGGGGGGAACCCUGAUGCAGCGACGCCGCGUGGGUGAAGAAGCGCCUCGGCGCGUAAAGCCCUGUCAGCAGGGAAGAAAAUGACGGUACCUGAAGAAGAAGCCCCGGCUAACUACGUGCCAGCAGCCGCGGUAAUACGUAGGGGGCAAGCGUUAUCCGGAUUUACUGGGUGUAAAGGGGGCGCAGACGGCGAUGCAAGCCAGGAGUGAAAGCCCGGGGCCCAACCCCGGGACUGCUCUUGGAACUGCGUGGCUAGAGUGCAGGAGGGGCAGGCGUAAUUCCUGGUGUAGCGGUGAAAUGCGUAGAUAUCAGGAGGAGCACCGGUGGCGAAGGCGGCCUGCUGGACUGCAACUGACGUUGAGGCCCGAAAGCGUGGGGAGCAAACAGGAUUAGAUACCCCAGUAGUC
This 440-nucleotide ribosomal RNA is filed under the name uncultured bacterium. RNAcentral's name for it is "partial 16S ribosomal RNA". It matches the Rfam family "Bacterial small subunit ribosomal RNA", at positions 338 to 795 of the family's 1533-position model. The record is from RNAcentral.